GUGGGGAAUAUUGGACAAUGGGCGAAAGCCUGAUCCAGCCAUGCCGCGUGUGUGAAGAAGGUCUUCGGAUUGUAAAGCACUUUAAGUUGGGAGGAAGGGCAGUAAGUUAAUACCUUGCUGUUUUGACGUUACCGACAGAAUAAGCACCGGCUAACUUCGUGCCAGCAGCCGCGGUAAUACGAAGGGUGCAAGCGUUAAUAGGAAUUACUGGGCGUAAAGCGCGCGUAGGUGGUUUUGUAAGUUGGAGGUGAAAUCCCCGGGCUCAACCUGGGAACUGACUACAAAACUGCAUUAAUAGAGUACGGUAGAGGGUAGUUGAAUUUCCGGUGUAGCGGUGAAAUGCGUAGAUAUAGGAAGGAACACCAGUGGCGAAGGCGACUACCUGGACUGAUACUGACACUGAGGUGCGAAAGCGUGGGGAGCAAACAGGAUUAGAAACCCCUGUAGUCC
This 450-nucleotide ribosomal RNA is filed under the name uncultured bacterium. RNAcentral describes it as "partial 16S ribosomal RNA". It matches the Rfam family "Bacterial small subunit ribosomal RNA", at positions 354 to 796 of the family's 1533-position model. The record is from RNAcentral.